RNAcentral lists this ribosomal RNA (355 nucleotides) under uncultured marine eukaryote. RNAcentral's name for it is "SSU rRNA". It matches the Rfam family "Eukaryotic small subunit ribosomal RNA", at positions 1 to 368 of the family's 1831-position model. The record is from RNAcentral.
AACCUGGUUGAUCCUGCCAGUAGUCAUAUGCUUGUCUUAAAGAUUAAGCCAUGCAUGUCUAAGUAUAAAUAGUAUACAGUGAAACUGCGAACGGCUCAUUAAAACAGUUAUAGUUUAUUUGAUAAUUGAAUGCUACAUGGAUAACCGUGGUAAUUCUAGAGCUAAUACAUGCUGUCAAACCUGACUUUUUGAAGGGUUGUAUUUAUUAGAUAUUAAACCAAUAGCUUCGGCUGUUGUGAUGAUUCAUAAUAACUGAUCGAAGCGAGGCUAGCCUCGCUAAAUCAUUCAAGUUUCUGCCCUAUCAGCUUUCGAUGGUAGUGUAUUGGACUACCAUGGCAAUCACGGGUAACGGGGA